GGGGUUGUGGCUCAAUGGUAGAGUGCUUACCUAGCACACAUGAGGCAUUGGGUUCGAUCCCCAGCACCACCU
Non-coding RNA from Ictidomys tridecemlineatus (thirteen-lined ground squirrel), 72 nucleotides. Lineage: Eukaryota; Metazoa; Chordata; Mammalia; Rodentia; Sciuridae. The record is from Rfam.